This 968-nucleotide ribosomal RNA is filed under the name uncultured organism. Its description in RNAcentral is "bacterial SSU rRNA". It matches the Rfam family "Bacterial small subunit ribosomal RNA", at positions 355 to 1334 of the family's 1533-position model. The record is from RNAcentral.
UCGGGGAUAUUGCACAAUCGCCGAAAGCCGGAUGCCGUGACGCCGCGUGGGCGAUGAAGGCCUUCGGGUUGUAAAGCCCUUUUAUGGGGGAAGAGACAAGGACGGUACCCCAAGAAUAAGCGUCGGCUAACUACGUGCCAUCAGCCAGCGAGUACAACGUAUGACUGCAAUGCGUUAUCCGGAUUUACUGGGCGUAGAGGAGCGUUGAGGCGCGUCCGUAAGUUGGGCGUGAAAUGCCCGGGCUUAACCCGGGGAGUGUCUGUUCAAUACUGCGGGACUUGAGGGCAGCCUACGUAGGCUGAAUUCCCGGUGUAGCGUUGAAAUGCGUAGAUAUCGGGAGGGAAUACAGUGGCAAAGGCUGGCUCCUGGGCUGUUUCUGAUGCUGAAGGCGGAAAGCUAGGGGAUCGAACGGGAUUAGAAACCCCGGUAGUCCUAGCCGUCAACGAUGGAUACUGGUUGUGGGGGGUAUAGAUCCCCUCCGUGCACGAAGACUAACGCGUUAAGCAUCCCGCCUGGGGAUUACGGCCGCAAGGCUUAUACUCAAACGAAUUGACGCGGGGCCACGCACAAGCAGCGGAGCGUGUGGUUUAAUAUCGAUGCUACACGACGAACCUUACCUGGGCACUGACAUGUAGGUAAGUAGUGAAGCGAAAGCGGUACGACCCUUCCGGGGAGCCUACACAGGUGCUUGCAUGGCUGUCGUCAGUUCGUGCACGUGAGGUGUCGGGUUAAGUCCCGUGACGAACGCAACCCUUGCCCUUAGUUACAUGUGUCUAAGGGGACUGCCCGGGACAACUGGGAGGAAGCUGGGGAUGACGUCAAGUCAGCAUGGCCUUUAUGUCCAGGGCUACACACACGCUACAAUGGCCGGUACAAUGGGUCGCCAACCCGUGAGGCGGAGCCAAUCCUCCAAAGCCGGUCUAAGUUCGGAUUGUGGGCUGCAACUCGCCCAUAUGAAGCUGGAGUUG